CUGUGCGCUUGGUGUUGGGGGUCCUUCGUGGGCACCCAGUGCCGGAGAGAAGUUGUUAAGCGCACCGCCUGGGGAGUACGGUCGCAGGACUGAAACUUAAAGGAAUUGGCGGGGGAGCACAGCAACGGGAGGAGCGUGCGGUUUAAUUGGAUUCAACGCCGGAAAACUCACCAGGGGCGACUGCCACAUGAAGGUCAAGCUGAUGACUUUACCCGAUUGGUAGAGAGGUGGUGCAUGGCCGUCGUCAGUUCGUACCGUAGGGCGUUCUGUUAAGUCAGAUAACGAACGAGACCCUUGCCCAUAAUUGCCAUGUUUCCCUCCGGGGGAACGGGACUUUAUGGGGACCGCUGGUGCAAAACCAGAGGAAGGGAAGGGCAACGGUAGGUCAGUAUGCCCCGAAUCCCCUGGGCGACACGCGCGCUACAAAGGCCGGGACAAAGAGUUCCGACCCCGAGAGGGGAAGGUAAUCUUGAAACCCGUCCGUAGUUCGGAUCGAGGGCUGCAACCCGCCCUCGUGAAGCUGGAUUCCGUAGUAAUCGCAGAUCAACAUCCUGCGGUGAAUAUGCCCCUGCUCCUUGCACACACCGCCCGUCAAACCAUCCGAGUGGAGUUUCGAUGAGGGUGGGAUUUUUGUCCUUCUCGAAUCGCGAUUUCGCAAGGAGGGUUAAGUCGUAACAAGGUAGCC
RNAcentral lists this ribosomal RNA (685 nucleotides) under uncultured archaeon. Its description in RNAcentral is "bacterial SSU rRNA". It matches the Rfam family "Archaeal small subunit ribosomal RNA", at positions 760 to 1448 of the family's 1478-position model. The record is from RNAcentral.